This 468-nucleotide ribosomal RNA is filed under the name uncultured bacterium. Its description in RNAcentral is "partial 16S ribosomal RNA". It matches the Rfam family "Bacterial small subunit ribosomal RNA", at positions 28 to 507 of the family's 1533-position model. The record is from RNAcentral.
GACGAACGCUGGCGGCGUGCUUAACACAUGCAAGUCGAACGGAAAGGCCCUGCUUUUGUGGGGUGCUCGAGUGGCGAACGGGUGAGUAACACGUGAGUAACCUGCCCUUGACUUUGGGAUAACUUCAGGAAACUGGGGCUAAUACCGGAUAGGAGCUCCUGCUGCAUGGUGGGGGUUGGAAAGUUUCGGCGGUUGGGGAUGGACUCGCGGCUUAGCAGCUUGUUGGUGGGGUAGUGGCUUACCAAGGCUCUGCCGGGUAGCCGGCCUGAGAGGGUGACCGGCCACAUUGGGACUGAGAGACGGCCCAGACUGCUACGGGGGGCAGCAGUGGGGAAUAUUGUACAAUGGGCGGGAGCGUGAUGCAGCGACGCCGCGUGUGGGAUGACGGCCUUCGGGUUGUAAACCGCUUUCACCUGUGACGAAGCGUGAGUGACGGUAAUGGGAAAAGAAGCACCGGCUAACUACGUG